UAGUGACUUAAAACAACCAAAAUGUAUUCCCUUACAGGUCUGAAGGCCAGAAUUCUACAGUAAGUCCUACUGAGUCAAGGUGGGAGCAGGGUCGGUAGCUUCCGAGGCUCUGCGGGAGAAUCUGUUUCCUGGCCGUAGAGGUGGCCUGCACUCCUCAGCCUGUGCUGCCCGUCUCGAAUGACUGGAGUUUCCUGCUUCUGUCACUACACCUCCCACCCUCUCCAUCACCUGCUCUGCUCUUACAAGGAUCCGAAGAAAUGGAAUCAUCGUAUCGCUGAUCUACGUAAACAAACUGAAGAAUUGUCUGAAAGAAAAUAUGGUAUGUCUAAACUGGAAAAGUCUUGUAAUCUUAUGUUCAUGGGCGUUUACACAGUGGAGUUACUGUUCAUCAUGGGGGUACCGUGGACAAGCCCAGGGCUGCCGGCGAGUCAUGCCAUCCUUACAUGUUUCUCCUUGUAAGGUGCUUUGUAGUGUCUACACACUUUGUUUCUAGAUUGCUGCAAAGCUGAGGAAAAGUUGUAUUUCUUUAGUUAUUAGUUAGCAUUUCUUUUAAACUUUCAGUAUGGAGAUUGGAAAUUUAUUUACAUAUUUAUUGCAAAGCCCUGGAUCUUAGGAAUUUCAUUGAAUUAUUUAUUUAUUUUUUUUGAGACGGAGCCUCACUCUGUCGCCCAGGCUGGAGUGCAGUGGCACGAUCUCGGCUCACUGCAACCUCCGCCUCCCGGGUUCAAGCAGUUCUCUGCCUCAGCCUCCCGAGCAGCUAGGAUUACAGGCACCAGCCACCACGCCUGGCUGAUUUUUGUAUUUUUAGUAGAGACGGGGUUUCAUGAUCUUGGCUAGGCUGGUCUUGAACUGCUGACCUCCUGAUCCACUCACCUCAGCCUCCCAAAGUGCUGGGAUUAUAGGUGUGAGCCACCAUGCCUGGCCAAAUAUUAUUUUUUUAAAUGAAUUGUUUCUCUUAGUCUGCUUUGUUAAAUUUGGAAUUCAUCUGGGCGCGGUGGCUCACACCUGUAAUCCCAGCACUUUGGGAGGCCAAGGCAGGCAGAUAUCUAGGUCGGGAGUUCGAGACCAGCCUGACCAACAUGGAGAAACCCCGUCUCUACUAAAAAUACAAAAUUAGACGGGUGUGGUGGCGCAUGUCUGUAAUCCCAGCUAUUCGGGAGGCCAAGGCAGGAGAAUCGCUUGAACCCAGGAGGCAGAGGUUGCAGUGAGGCGAGGUUGGCACCAUUGCACUCUAGCCUGGGCAAAAAGAGCAAAACUCCAUCUCAAAAUAAAUAAGUAAAUAAAUAAAAUGUUCAGUACUCAGCAAGGUGCCCCUGUUGUCUCUGCUUUUAUCUUGAUGCAUCACUGAAUUGAUGUUAGAUUUCAAAUUCAUCAUUGCCCUGAUACUAUUCUAUCCUGAAGCCACCUUUAUAUAGUGAUGAAAGAAAUUAGCGAUUUGUUAUUAUCCUCUCUCUGUUGGUAUACAUCAAAUACUCACCUAAAAAAGAGCAACAACCAGUGGAAAACAUGAUGUUUUUAUUUGGGUGACUAUUUACUUGUAACCUACUAGCAAACUAUAAAAUUGUAUGAUAUGCAGAAUUUUAACUGAAUUGCUUUAAGUGAACAUUUAAACAUGAUAAACAAUAUUGAUGGCAUUUAUGUUAAUAUACUUAAAAGGAACAUUUUUCUUCAUCAUGAGUAAUAUAACCUACUCCUCAAUGAAAACCUAGCACUAAAUUUGCUAAUGAAUUCAAUAACAUUUCCAUAAUAUUUUUAGUUACAUGCUUAAGGUUCUCUUAGUGUUUCUCCCACUUUUUAAUAGCUUAUGCCUUUUUCACCUUUGGUUUUUUUUUG
Molecule: long non-coding RNA, 1833 nt
Filed under: Homo sapiens (human)
Lineage: Eukaryota; Metazoa; Chordata; Mammalia; Primates; Hominidae
Description: HSALNT0253969
Source: RNAcentral